AUUGAACGCUGGCGGCAGGCCUAACACAUGCAAGUCGAACGGUAACAGGAAGCAGCUUGCUGCUUUGCUGACGAGUGGCGGACGGGUGAGUAAUGUCUGGGAAACUGCCUGAUGGAGGGGGAUAACUACUGGAAACGGUAGCUAAUACCGCAUAACGUCGCAAGACCAAAGAGGGGGACCUUCGGGCCUCUUGCCAUCGGAUGUGCCCAGAUGGGAUUAGCUAGUAGGUGGGGUAAAGGCUCACCUAGGCGACGAUCCCUAGCUGGUCUGAGAGGAUGGCCAGCCACACUGGAACUGAGACACGGUCCAGACUCCUACGGGAGGCAGCAGUGGGGAAUAUUGCACAAUGGGCGCAAGCCUGAUGCAGCCAUGCCGCGUGUAUGAAGAAGGCCUUCGGGUUGUAAAGUACUUUCAGCGGGGAGGAAGGGAGUAAAGUUAAUACCUUUGCUCAUUGACGUUACCCGCAGAAGAAGCACCGGCUAACUCCGUG
RNAcentral lists this ribosomal RNA (490 nucleotides) under uncultured bacterium. Its description in RNAcentral is "partial 16S ribosomal RNA". It matches the Rfam family "Bacterial small subunit ribosomal RNA", at positions 30 to 507 of the family's 1533-position model. The record is from RNAcentral.